Molecule: ribosomal RNA, 423 nt
Filed under: uncultured bacterium
Lineage: Bacteria
Description: bacterial SSU rRNA
Rfam family: Bacterial small subunit ribosomal RNA
Source: RNAcentral
GACGAACGCUGGCGGCGUGCCUAAUACAUGCAAGUCGAGCGGACCUCUUCGGAGGUCAGCGGCGGACGGGUGAGUAACACGUGGGCAAUCUGCCUUUCAGACUGGAAUAACGCCUGGAAACGGGUGCUAAUGCCGGAUAGAGCAAUAAGUAGGCAUCUACUUGUUGGGAAAGGUGCUACGGCACCACUGAGAGAGGAGCCCGCGGCGCAUUAGCUAGUUGGUGGGGUAACGGCCUACCAAGGCGACGAUGCGUAGCCGACCUGAGAGGGUGACCGGCCACACUGGGACUGAGACACGGCCCAGACUCCUACGGGAGGCAGCAGUAGGGAAUCUUCGGCAAUGGGCGAAAGCCUGACCGAGCAACGCCGCGUGAGCGAAGAAGGCCUUCGGGUUGUAAAGCUCAGUCACCCGGGAAGAGCGGGC